UAAUUAGGUAUCUGGUGGAUACUUGUCCAAUUGUCAAUCAUACCACAUUGUUAUAUCUUUAUAUUCAGCACUCUCGUCGUUUUUUUUUCUUUGUUCUUUUUUUGUUCAUCGAAAAUUUGAUGCAAUUAAGCUUCAUGUGUUUUGUCUUUUUAAAAUCGCCGCGAUAUAGUAUGUUUGUGCUAAUGUGCCGUGAAGCAACCAACAAUUAAUCAAUCUUUUUUUUUUAAUUUGUUAGUGUUAUGAUAUUGUAAUUUUCACGUUAAUCAUCUUGACCUAAUGUGUUGUGUAUGGCCCAAACAGACGUUACAUAAUUGGGUUGUUCACCGUAAAUAUUUGUUUACAAGAAAUGUUUACAAAUCAGUGGAGCAAUUAAUGAUAUUGAUGGAAUGAUAAGAAAUUUCUAUUUAUCAUAGCCUAAUUUGUUGUAUGCGACCCAAUACGAUUUAUCAUGAUUGGGCUGUUUAUCAUUUAUACUUGUUCACAAAAGAUGUUAUCAAAUCACUACAUCAAUCAUUGAAAUUGAUGGAAUGGUUACAACUCGAUCAUAAUCUAC
RNAcentral lists this long non-coding RNA (553 nucleotides) under Mytilus galloprovincialis (Mediterranean mussel). Lineage: Eukaryota; Metazoa; Mollusca; Bivalvia; Mytilida; Mytilidae. The record is from RNAcentral.